RNAcentral lists this ribosomal RNA (478 nucleotides) under uncultured bacterium. Its description in RNAcentral is "partial 16S ribosomal RNA". It matches the Rfam family "Bacterial small subunit ribosomal RNA", at positions 28 to 507 of the family's 1533-position model. The record is from RNAcentral.
GACGAACGCUGGCGGCGUGCUUAACACAUGCAAGUCGAACGGGAUUUAGUAGACAGAAGCUUCGGUGGAAGAUUACUAAUGAGAGUGGCGAACGGGUGAGUAACGCGUGAGCAACCUGCCUAUGACAGUGGGAUAGCCUCGGGAAACCGGGAUUAAUACCGCAUAAAAUCGUAGAAACACAUGUUUCAACGGUCAAAGAUUUAUCGGUCGUAGAUGGGCUCGCGUCUGAUUAGCUAGUUGGUGAGAUAACAGCCCACCAAGGCGACGAUCAGUAGCCGGUCUGAGAGGAUGAACGGCCACAUUGGAACUGAGACACGGUCCAAACUCCUACGGGAGGCAGCAGUGGGGAAUAUUGCACAAUGGGGGAAACCCUGAUGCAGCGACGCCGCGUGAACGAAGAAGGUAUUCGUAUCGUAAAGUUCUGUCCUAUGGGAAGAUAAUGACAGUACCAUAGAAGAAAGCUCCGGCUAAAUACGUG